UGUUUUUAACUUAUGGCAAUAUAGUUGUUUGCAUCAGUGCAGUAAGAUUCCAAUUUUCUUUUGCAACAGGACACAAUUAGAGAAACUGGUAAUUUUAGCAAGGCUUUGGCUGGAAAGGCAUGCUUCCCUUUAAGGAGUGAAUCUCAACUUGCAAAGCCAAUAAAAGCCCAGUGGGGAAACUGGCCUCAUACCCUUGCCUAUGCAGUCCCUGUACAGGGUUCCUGACCUAUGGUCAGUAAAGAAUUCCACUUUCUAACAGGGCUAGGAGCUCCAAAUUUAUCUUGGGACCUUAAGAGGAGAGACUCACCAAACUCACAGGUGUUUGAGGAUGCAAACCCAUGGUUGGGCUCAGCUUUAAAAGGUUUUAUCUGAGAUUCCUUGUGGAACAAAAUUCCUUCAAAGCCAAUCCAAAAGGCAUAUGUAGAAAUAAUUAUUCUUGCUGCACUUUAUGCAAAUAAUCAGGCCAAGCAUAAGACUGAAGUCUGUUUUGCAAACCACUCAGUUCUUGUUAUAGUUUUUUUGACAAAAAUGAGAACUGGGGAGAAAUUAUGUUUCAAAACUUAUUUAUUUGUCAUUAAAUUCUAAACUCACUAGUUGUUUAAAUUUUUAGCCUACAUUUUAGACUAACCUUGCUGGUUCCUAUGAACCAACUAGGAGUCUCCAGCUGCGGCUCAGAAGGGGGACAAGAGGGAUGGGCCAUCAGACUCCAAAUAGUCAUGCGACCAGAGCCUCUGAUGAUGGCCCCUUCUCCAGGAACUCUUACAUUGGUCUCUGAGGGAGAUCUGACUGCUGUUUCCCCAAAACAGUACCCCCUGUUAGCAGGAAACAGUUAA
RNAcentral lists this long non-coding RNA (833 nucleotides) under Callithrix jacchus (white-tufted-ear marmoset). RNAcentral describes it as "lncRNA (ENSCJAG00000086254.1)". The record is from RNAcentral. Lineage: Eukaryota; Metazoa; Chordata; Mammalia; Primates; Cebidae.